CAGCAGCCGCGGGAACACGUAGGGUGCAAGCGUUAAUCGGAAUUACUGGGCGUAAAGCGUGCGCAGGCGGUUAUAUAAGACAGAUGUGAAAUCCCCGGGCUCAACCUGGGAACUGCAUUUGUGACUGUAUAGCUAGAGUACGGCAGAGGGGGAUGGAAUUCCGCGUGUAGCAGUGAAAUGCGUAGAUAUGCGGAGGAACACCGAUGGCGAAGGCAAUCCCCUGGGCCUGUACUGACGCUCAUGCACGAAAGCGUGGGGAGCAAACAGGAUUAGAUACCCCAGUAGUCCCUGUCUCUUAUAA
This 301-nucleotide ribosomal RNA is filed under the name uncultured bacterium. RNAcentral describes it as "partial 16S ribosomal RNA". It matches the Rfam family "Bacterial small subunit ribosomal RNA", at positions 509 to 809 of the family's 1533-position model. The record is from RNAcentral.